Molecule: long non-coding RNA, 1604 nt
Organism: Anser cygnoides (Swan goose)
Lineage: Eukaryota; Metazoa; Chordata; Aves; Anseriformes; Anatidae
Source: Ensembl
ACACAUACAUGUGCUGCAGGCUUAAAGAGGACCUGCUGGAUCACUAGUUCAAAUACAAAUGUGUGUUAACAUCUCCUCCAAGCUGGACCUGUACACCUCAGUUGCUCUCACAAACAUUUAUUGCAUUAUUUAAUUUUAUUUUUUAGGUUUCUGUCACUAGUUGGACUCUGGAGUAAAUGUUAAAAACCCAAAACUCCAUAAUGAGGUGAAUUAGGAUUCACCUAAUUAUACAUAACUGUAUGCCCUAACCAUAGGGCCAGCUGUGAUUCAUUCUGAUUUGUUUUUCUGCCUAACCUGUGCUGAUCUAACCAACAAUUAUAUGAGCCUUUUACCACCUGCCGGGAGAACAGCUCUAAUUCCCUUUCCCCCCACUAAAUCUGACUUUGUCAAUCAAGAAAUAAGAGGUGCUAAAUAGGGACCUGUGGUCCCUGCUUCUCAAUGAAGCCUUCAUUCAGAGCAACGUUGGCUGUGGUAGGCUGUUCAGGUCUCUGUGACACAAUUUUGUAACCAAACCUGCUUAUUUUAGGCUGUAAUAUUGUGGGGAUCUCGCUGCAAGAGCUGCAAGUCUUCGGUAAAGGUGAAGGAGGACAGCUCCGGGUCCGAAGACCCAACGCCAGGUUUCUGGGGAACUUCACAACCGGAGGUGGAUGAACAGCAGCUCUCAGCACCACCUGGGCAGAACUGGCCUUCUCUGAGCUGCCACUUCUUGUCCGGAUGCCAGCAGGCCUUCUCCCACCUCUGCCACACCACAUCUGGCUUGGUUCGUGCUCUCCUCCAUUUUAACAACGGUGCCGGGACUCAGAAUUUCAGAAUGGGGGUAUGGGUGUCAGACUCGCUAGGUACACGGGAAAUAAAACAGUAAGCAGUGUGACUGCCAGCAUAAAGAUGUAAGACGCACAAGCUUUGAGCUUGAAAUGCCAGGAAAACUAUACUUAAUGAUUUUUCAUGAGUUUUACCCCAUUUAUUAGUUCACAGACUUGUUGGAAAUGUUUGUGAACGCUUUCUGAGCUAUAACAUAUAGUUCGUGGUAACUUUGCCAUACCCUGCCUAAAAAGACUAACUUUUAAAACGAGAUCUGCUUUCAAAUGGAGAGGCUCCUUCCAUCUGAUCAUGUCUCAGCACCAAGCACCAUUAGGUCCUGGGAGCUUUUUACUGCUCAAAGGGAAAAGAUCAUUGCCCCAUUCUGACACUGACAAAUUGAGUCCUUUUAUUUGCUAGACUUUCAAAAUAAGGCUUGCCUGCCAUUUCUAUGAAGGAAUGCACUGGCUUCAAUAUCUUCCUCUAAAAAGGAUUUGGAGGAAGCAGCAGCCCCCAGGCGCAUUCCCUGCCAUUGAUCAGCGAUGCACCUGACACCAGGGGAGGAGGCCCUGCCAGCUGCCCCUGGACAUGAGCACCAGUCUGCGCCACCUGGGCAUGUUUAAGUGCAUUCACAGAUAUGUCCCACAUUUAUUGAUAUGUCUUGGUUUGCUGUGUGAUGAGAACGAACUCGUGAAUGCUCUGAAAGUGUUUUUUCGCAGCUGUAAUUAAAUCAGUUCCACUGCACCAGCAGAUCAGAGGGAUCUCUUUCUUUCAACCUGGGGAAAUAAAACCAUCCUUGGGCUUCA